Molecule: ribosomal RNA, 266 nt
Filed under: uncultured bacterium
Lineage: Bacteria
Description: partial 16S ribosomal RNA
Rfam family: Bacterial small subunit ribosomal RNA
Source: RNAcentral
GGUAUCCUACGGGGGGCAGCAGUGAGGAAUAUUGGUCAAUGGGCGGGAGCCUGAACCAGCCAAGUCGCGUGAGGGAAGACGGUCCUAUGGAUUGUAAACCUCUUUAGGCGGGGAGCAAUGCCGGGCACGCGUGCCCGGAGGGAGAGUACCCGCAGAAUAAGCAUCGGCUAACUCCGUGCCAGCACCCGCGGUAAUACGGAGGAUGCGAGCGUUAUCCGGAUUUAUUGGGUUUAAAGGGAGCGUAGGUGGAUUGUUAAGUCCGUUGU